RNAcentral lists this ribosomal RNA (468 nucleotides) under uncultured bacterium. RNAcentral describes it as "partial 16S ribosomal RNA". It matches the Rfam family "Bacterial small subunit ribosomal RNA", at positions 28 to 507 of the family's 1533-position model. The record is from RNAcentral.
GACGAACGCUGGCGGCGUGCUUAACGCAUGCAAGUCGAACGGAAAGGCCCUGCUUUUGUGGGGUGCUCGAGUGGCGAACGGGUGAGUAACACGUGAGUAACCUGCCCUUGACUUUGGGAUAACUUCAGGAAACUGGGGCUAAUACCGGAUAGGAGCUCCUGCUGCAUGGUGGGGGUUGGAAAGUUUCGGCGGUUGGGGAUGGACUCGCGGCUUAUCAGCUUGUUGGUGGGGUAGUGGCUUACCAAGGCUUUGACGGGUAGCCGGCCUGAGAGGGUGACCGGCCACAUUGGGACUGAGAUACGGCCCGGACUCCUACGGGAGGCAGCAGUGGGGAAGAUUGCACAAUGGGCGGAAGCCUGAUGCAGCAACGCCGCGUGCGGGAUGACGGCCUUCGGGUUGUAAACCGCUUUCGCCUGUGACGAAGCGUGAGUGACGGUAAUGGGUAAAGAAGCACCGGCUAACUACGUG